Molecule: non-coding RNA, 29 nt
Filed under: Mus musculus (house mouse)
Lineage: Eukaryota; Metazoa; Chordata; Mammalia; Rodentia; Muridae
Source: RNAcentral
UAGACAAAUUGUUUGUCAGAAUGGCUUUC